CGGAGGGUGCAAGCGUUAUCCGGAUUCACUGGGUUUAAAGGGUGCGUAGGUGGGCAAGUAAGUCAGUGGUGAAAUCUCCGGGCUUAACCCGGAAACUGCCAUUGAUACUAUUUGUCUUGAAUACUGUGGAGGUCAGCGGAAUAUGUCAUGUAGCGGUGAAAUGCUUAGAUAUGACAUAGAACACCAAUUGCGAAGGCAGCUGGCUACACAAAUAUUGACACUGAGGCACGAAAGCGUGGGGAUCAAACAGGAUUAGAUACCCUGGUAGUCCACGCCCUAAACUAUGGAUACUCGACGUUUGCGAUAAACUGCAAGUGUCUGAGCGAAAGCAUUAAGUAUCCCACCUGGGAAGUACGAUCGCAAGAUUG
Molecule: ribosomal RNA, 368 nt
Filed under: uncultured organism
Description: bacterial SSU rRNA
Rfam family: Bacterial small subunit ribosomal RNA
Source: RNAcentral